RNAcentral lists this ribosomal RNA (618 nucleotides) under uncultured bacterium. RNAcentral's name for it is "bacterial SSU rRNA". It matches the Rfam family "Bacterial small subunit ribosomal RNA", at positions 338 to 950 of the family's 1533-position model. The record is from RNAcentral.
CCUACGGGAGGCAGCAGUGGGGAAUUUUGGACAAUGGGCGAAAGCCUGAUCCAGCAAUGCCGCGUGAGUGAAGAAGGCCUUCGGGUUGUAAAGCUCUUUUGUCAGGGAAGAAACGGUGAGGGCUAAUAUCUCUUGCUAAUGACGGUACCUGAAGAAUAAGCACCGGCUAACUACGUGCCAGCAGCCGCGGUAAUACGUAGGGUGCAAGCGUUAAUCGGAAUUACUGGGCGUAAAGCGUGCGCAGGCGGUUUUGUAAGUCUGUCGUGAAAUCCCCGGGCUCAACCUGGGAAUUGCGAUGGAGACUGCAAGGCUAGAAUCUGGCAGAGGGGGGUAGAAUUCCACGUGUAGCAGUGAAAUGCGUAGAGAUGUGGAGGAACACCGAUGGCGAAGGCAGCCCCCUGGGUCAAGAUUGACGCUCAUGCACGAAAGCGUGGGGAGCAAACAGGAUUAGAUACCCUGGUAGUCCACGCCCUAAACGAUGUCUACUAGUUGUCGGGUUUUAAUAACUUGGUAACGCAGCUAACGCGUGAAGUAGACCGCCUGGGGAGUACGGUCGCAAGNUUAAAACUCAAAGGAAUUGACCGGNUGAGAGNGACGACGACGACGACGAGGAGGAGG